UACGUAGGGGGCAAGCGUUGUCCGGAUUUAUUGGGCGUAAAGAGCGUGUAGGCGGUUUUACAGGUCCGCUGUGAAAACUCGAGGCUCAACCUCGAGCUGUCGGUGGAAAACCGUAAGGCUAGAGUCCGGAAGAGGAGAGUGGAAUUCCUGGUGUAGCGGUGAAAUGCGCAGAUAUCAGGAAGAACACCCGUGGCGAAGGCGGCUCUCUGGGACGGUACUGACGCUGAGACGCGAAAGCGUGGGGAGCGAACAGG
Molecule: ribosomal RNA, 254 nt
Filed under: uncultured bacterium
Lineage: Bacteria
Description: partial 16S ribosomal RNA
Rfam family: Bacterial small subunit ribosomal RNA
Source: RNAcentral